GGGGUUUCCGCUAUCGUAGGUAGGGUACUGGCAACAGUGCUCUGCUGAAAUAUUUUCACCCAUGUCUUUUGCGCACUUUUUGUUUCCUGGGCGAGUUUGCUCGCCACCAGGACCCCCAUAUGAACCUUUUUUGUUUUUGCACUCAGCGUCAGUACAAUAAUUUAAUCUAUUAAAACUUUCAACAACGGAUCUCUUGGUUCUGGCAUCGAUGAAGAACGCAGCGAAAUGCGAUACGUAGUGUGAAUUGCAGAAUUCAGUGAAUCAUCGAAUCUUUGAACGCACAUUGCGCCCUUUGGUAUUCCAAAGGGCAUGCCUGUUCGAGCGUCAUUUGUACCCUCAAGCUUUGCUUGGUGUUGGGCGUCUUAUUGUCUCUCCGUCUCGGGGAGACUCGCCUUAAAACAAUUGGCAGCCGGCCUACUGGUUUCGGAGCGCAGCACAAAUUUGCGCUUGCAAUCAGCCAAGGGCGGCAUCCAUGAAGCCUUUUUUCUCUCACAUUUUGACCUCGGAUCAGGUAGGGAUACCCGCUGAACUUAAGCAUAUCAAUAAGCGGGAGAAGA
Molecule: ribosomal RNA, 557 nt
Filed under: Exserohilum turcicum
Lineage: Eukaryota; Fungi; Ascomycota; Dothideomycetes; Pleosporales; Pleosporaceae
Description: eukaryotic LSU rRNA
Rfam family: 5.8S ribosomal RNA (bases 174-327)
Source: RNAcentral